GACGAACGCUGGCGGCGUGCUUAACACAUGCAAGUCGAGCGGUAAGGCCCUUUCGGGGGUACACGAGCGGCGAAACGGGUGAGUAACACGUGGGUGACCCUGCCCUCAGCUCUGGGAUAAGCCCGGGAAACUGGGUCUAAUACUGGAUAUGACUCCAUGACGCAUGUUGUGGGGUGGAAAGCCUUGUGCGGCUGAGGAUGGGCCCGCGGCCUAUCAGCUUGUUGGUGGGGGAUGGCCUACCAAGGCGACGACGGGUAGCCGGCCUGAGAGGGCGACCGGCCACACUGGGACUGAGACACGGCCCAGACUCCUACGGGAGGCAGCAGUGGGGAAUCUUGCGCAAUGGGCGAAAGCCUGACGCAGCGACGCCGCGUGAGGGAUGACGGCCUGG
RNAcentral lists this ribosomal RNA (391 nucleotides) under uncultured bacterium. Its description in RNAcentral is "bacterial SSU rRNA". It matches the Rfam family "Bacterial small subunit ribosomal RNA", at positions 28 to 419 of the family's 1533-position model. The record is from RNAcentral.